Molecule: transfer RNA, 69 nt
Filed under: Ictidomys tridecemlineatus (thirteen-lined ground squirrel)
Lineage: Eukaryota; Metazoa; Chordata; Mammalia; Rodentia; Sciuridae
Description: Spermophilus tridecemlineatus (thirteen-lined ground squirrel) tRNA
Rfam family: tRNA
About the family: Transfer RNA (tRNA) molecules are approximately 80 nucleotides in length.
Source: Rfam by way of RNAcentral
GGGGUUGUGGCUCAGUGGUAGAGCGCUCACCUGGCAUGCGUGAGGCACUGGGUUCCACCCUCAGCACCA